UACGUAGGGCGCAAGCGUUAUCCGGAAUUAUUGGGCGUAAAGAGCUCGUAGGCGGUUUGUCGCGUCUGCCGUGAAAGUCCGGGGCUCAACUCCGGAUCUGCGGUGGGUACGGGCAGACUAGAGUGAUGUAGGGGAGACUGGAAUUCCUGGUGUAGCGGUGAAAUGCGCAGAUAUCAGGAGGAACACCGGUGGCGAAGGCGGGUCUCUGGGCCGAUACUGACGCUGAGGGGCGAAAGCGUGGGGAGCGAACAGG
This 253-nucleotide ribosomal RNA is filed under the name uncultured bacterium. RNAcentral's name for it is "partial 16S ribosomal RNA". It matches the Rfam family "Bacterial small subunit ribosomal RNA", at positions 524 to 776 of the family's 1533-position model. The record is from RNAcentral.